CUGGGCAGCUGGUGAUCGUUGGUCCC
Molecule: non-coding RNA, 26 nt
Filed under: Cricetulus griseus (Chinese hamster)
Lineage: Eukaryota; Metazoa; Chordata; Mammalia; Rodentia; Cricetidae
Source: RNAcentral